RNAcentral lists this ribosomal RNA (448 nucleotides) under uncultured bacterium. RNAcentral's name for it is "bacterial SSU rRNA". It matches the Rfam family "Bacterial small subunit ribosomal RNA", at positions 28 to 477 of the family's 1533-position model. The record is from RNAcentral.
GAUGAACGCUGGCGGCGUGCUUAACACAUGCAAGUCGAACGGGAAACCUUUUAUUGAAGCUUCGGCAGAUUUAGAUUGUUUCUAGUGGCGGACGGGUGAGUAACGCGUGGGUAACCUGCCUUAUACAGGGGGAUAACAGUCAGAAAUGACUGCUAAUACCGCAUAAGCGCACAGGACCGCAUGGUCCGGUGUGAAAAACUCCGGUGGUAUAAGAUGGACCCGCGUUGGAUUAGCUUGUUGGCAGGGUAACGGCCUACCAAGGCGACGAUCCAUAGCCGGCCUGAGAGGGUGAACGGCCACAUUGGGACUGAGACACGGCCCAGACUCCUACGGGAGGCAGCAGUGGGGAAUAUUGCACAAUGGGGGAAACCCUGAUGCAGCGACGCCGCGUGAAGGAAGAAGUAUCUCGGUAUGUAAACUUCUAUCAGCAGGGAGGAAAAUGACGGUA